Molecule: long non-coding RNA, 2529 nt
Organism: Diorhabda sublineata
Lineage: Eukaryota; Metazoa; Arthropoda; Insecta; Coleoptera; Chrysomelidae
Exons: 2
Source: RefSeq, a predicted model, not a curated record
UUCUGGGCUCGAUUAAAUAUAAAUUACCUUAAUGCAAAUGUUUAUACUAAAGAAAAUUACAUUCCUUACUUACCAGGAAUUAAAUGCAUAUCUGCCAUUCCUGCAAAUGUGAAACAUUUAAACCAGCGUACAGAAAGUAUUUUUCUUAAGACUUUUGACAUGCACAAUAAGCGAAAGUACCUAUUGACAAUAUGUAAUUGCUAAAGAAAUUAUUUGUUAUUUAUACAUCAAGUUCAAUAACGUAAUUAUGUAAUGUUUUUCAGUAUCUAACUAAUCAUGAAUUAUUCACCUGCAUUCACACUUCUUCAAUAAGACAAUAUUGAGAACAAUAUGUAUAAUAAAAUGGAAAAAUAAUAUGCGACUCGGAUCCACACUCAUGUUUCGCGAUUUGCAUGCGAUACGCGCGCGAAUGCAAAAACGGCUUGAAAAUAAUACUAAUCUAUUGAGUAAUUUAGUGGAUUCAAACUGUAGCAGGGAUAUUUUGGUAGGGUUACUUUUAAAAAUAAACUGAAAUUCCACGGCAUUAAUUCUAAGUAACUAUAUGUAAUUGGUCCAAAUUUUUGAUAAUGAUAAUCUGCUGAAUAUUUUGGCGAUUUAUAGAUAUCAAAUACAUGCUUCAAUGCAUUAAUUCAACAAUAUAUCAUGAACAAGUUCGAAUACGAUAUAAUUGCAUGGGAUUCACCGUUAAAACUUGUUUUGAAAAAGCAUCAAAGUAUUUGAAAUAGCCAAACAUAUUCACAUUAUUCAUACAUAUUAUUCUAUACACAAAAAAGUACUAACUAUCCUCACUAUAUUUUGAAAGUACCUAUAUCAGAAAAUAAACACAUAGCAUGUAAUAUCAUAAGAUCCACUAAAGAAUCAUUCAUCCUGGCAACAUUGAUCUACAGAUGUUAUAAAUGUCUAAACAGUAUGCGCGCCAAGUGGAAACUACGUUCGAGCUAUGUAUAUAGCCGUUAACAUUGUAUGUAUUAAUUUACGUCGUAAAUGUACAAUAGUUGUCAAAUAAGACUCCAAUUCAAUAAUAUUUCUGUCUACUUAAUACUAGUAUUAAAGCUUUUAGUAUCAACAGCUACAAAUUGAUUAUCUAAUUAAUCCAUUUUUCUCAAUUCUAAAAUAGAUAGUAUAUUUAUCUACCCUUUGACAUUUUAAGAUCUUGGUAAGUAUAAUGUACACUUUUUAACGAAUACAAAAAAAUUAUAUAGAUACAUUUGAACGGGAUGCAAUUGAAUUUACCUGUUCAAUAAAACUUGAUUUCAUAGCUGUAUUAUAAUUGAUAUCCAAAGAGUAGUUACCAAAAAAAUAAAUUUAGAGAAGAAAAAAUACACAAAAAUUCCAAUCGUUGAAAGAAGAAGAGGAACACAAAAAUUUUUCUAAUACUUAUUACAAUACUGAAUUGAAUACUAAGUAUUAAAAGAAUAAGCAACAAUUCAAAUUUAAAUCUAAACUGAUUAUAAUGCAAACUGAAUUUUUCACCUGCAAAUAUUGUGAAUGUGACUUAACUUCUAAAGAAUAUUUGGAGUACCAUGAAAGAUACUGUAAGUUGAGAAUGGAACGAAAACAGAAGUCAGAUGAGGAUGUUAAAGUUGAAAAAGUAUACAAAUGUACAUAUUGUGAAUAUUCAAGUAAAUUUUCAGGUAAUUUAAAGAAGCAUAUUAGUGGUAAACAUGAGAAACAGAACAAAGAAAUGUUUAAUUGUAAAAUAUGUGGUUAUAAAAGUUACUGGAAAUCAAGUCUUCAACAGCAUUUUAAAAUUCAUGAAGAAAGUAAAUUUGGAUGUGUGAAAUGUAAUAUUAUGUAUAGUCAGAAACAAAAUCUUUAUGAACAUUAUAUACAAAAACAUCCUGAAAAAUAUGUUAAGGUAACAUCUAGAAUACAUCAAUGCUACUAUUGUACUUUUAGAACUGUUUGUAAAAGUAAGUUACAUCAACACAAAUGUCUCAACAUAUUUGAAAAACAAAAACAGAAUAACAAAAAAGUUUCAUGUACUCAAAACAAUUAUUCUACUAAUAAGGAAUAAUAUUUUACUGUAUACAUACAAAUUCUUGAUGACAGAAAGAUUCCUCUAAAGAACAUUAUAAAUGUUUUCAAUUAUGUUGAAUAUAACUGCUACAUUUGUUUUAAACAAACCAUAUUAAAUAAAUAUCUCAAUUUGUCAGUUAUAAAAUACCAAUACUGAUAAUGCCCUUGUACCACAAAACCAACACCAAUUCUCGUUUUUUCUUGUAGUUCAUUUUUCUGAAAAUUUGUUGUCAAAAACCAUAAAUGAAAAUUUACUACAUUGUUUUCAGUAGAAUUUUUAUUUGUUUCUGUUGAGAAUUAUAUUUUAAGUUGUAGAAGUUGGAAUACCUAUUUUUCAAUCAAGUUUUUUUAGUUCCUAUUAAGAAUACAUUAUAAAUUAUAAAAAUGUAAUUAUGAAUACAUCUUUUUAGUUUAUCUGUUCCUAGUCAUUUUAAGUUAUUAUAAUAUUUAAUUAGUUCAUAUAUUUCCAUUAGAUGUUAAAAUAUGGCUAAAUAAAUUGUUAAAUAAGAA